Molecule: long non-coding RNA, 1950 nt
Organism: Bombus pascuorum
Lineage: Eukaryota; Metazoa; Arthropoda; Insecta; Hymenoptera; Apidae
Exons: 2
Source: RefSeq, a predicted model, not a curated record
GCGUGCGUUGCACGUUGCUUCCGAUUCGAUGGUACGCGUUGAUCGAAUGGAAGUUUCGAACAGGUCAGAAAUUAGAUUGCGACUGUUGCCGAUCCACUCUUCUCUCUAUAUUCUGUUCCUUCGACUGACACCGAUCUUGUAUAGUUCGUCUUUGCGCGUGACGAGCGUGACGCACGCGACUUCCCGAGCGUUACUACUUACUGUCUAUCAACCGUGAGUGUAUAUACAGCGAGUAUACAUGCAAUACACGUGACAGCCUCGAGAAUCGAUCGAAUGGAAACUCUUUCUCUAUCCAUAUUCCCGUUGACUCAUGUUUGUCGGCACUGGUUACGCGUUCGUAAAAUUGACCAUAAUUAACAUAGGAAUUUCACCCAAACUCCAUAGCUGUGUUGCAAUGCUUCACAUGCUGAACUACACAGAAACCACUACAGUGGCUGCUUUCCUAUGCUGCACCGGAAGAAACAAACCCUUCGAAACCGGUUUCGAGCUUGUCACUAGCAAUAUCGUGAUUAACUUACGAGUAUAGUUCCGAUACGAAUCCUACUCUUUUAAGACAAUAUAAAAUACUUUUAUCUAAUAAAUGUAUUGUAAUUUACAUGGCAGCGAUAAUAGCUCGAUACCCAGUGAUUCCAACGAUGCCCCUAACGAUGACUUCGUCGAUCCCUACGAUGAUUUAUAAUUUAUGACAGAUAAUUCAUGAAUUAGUUCCAAUUCUUUCUUCCAUACGUGCAAUAAUAUAACCGCCUCUAUCGAUAUGAAAUAAGAUUAAAAUCAUUUUCUUCGUUAGUAUGAAAUUGUAUUAAAUGACGAUCUAUAACAAAUGUAACAUGGAUAUCCACGACCGCAUGUUUGACACCUUGACGUCAACAAAACAUUAUUUUUGGUCGACGAUGUAUAUACAUUUAGCACGGAACUACAUCGUAAAAUCACUAGUAAUAGAAUACCUAUGAUUUUUAGGUAAACUCGUUCGAUAUCGUUUGUCAGUGAACAUUCUCUUUUGAAAACUUGUCGUUUACUUAUCUACAAAAAUAGCCGAAAGAUCGAAGGUAAAGCCAAACUGCAUGUGUACGAACGAUUCCAUUUGUAUGCUAAAUACAUAUAUACUUUGCCAACUUUCGUGUAGAGAGAUCUCGAUUCCUGAACUAUUUUCGUUGGUAGGCGUGUUUCUUGCUGAAACCGGCUUGUGCCAAACGACUCUUCCUUCAACUACGGAUACAUAACACGUAAUACGUAACGAUUCUAUAUAUGUAUUUGUGCAUGAUUAUGGUUGUGUUUAAGAUGGACGAAACUUAUUAAGGAGGAUUACGUCAUUGUUGGAUCAGUGCCUCGAACGACUAGACUGCAUGAUAUACAUAUGUUGCAAUCGCAUCGAUUAUAAAACACAAUGACUCGUGAUUCAUGAUUACUUUAAAACUUAUAAACGCUUAUGAUUGAUUCAGGCAUCUCUGAAUCGGUUAAUAAUAAUUUUUACUUGAGAUAGACAAAACUAUAGGUGUCCGUAGUAUCUUAAACGAAAAGCAUAUUUUCGAUUCUUCUAUGUGAAAAUUCAAUUCUUUGUAAAGUAGCAAACGAUAAAAGUGAACACUAUUUUCUUCUUUUUCCCUAAUUUUCGUUUAUCGAUGAAAUUUAUGUUCCUUCAGGACGAAUGAGAGUAGCCGACGAAUCUUGGAUUUCAAGCUGAAAACGCUAAAAUCGAUCUAAAACGCAUGCCUGUGAUAUUGAUAUGCAAGAGCACGUGGCAUAUACCUUGAACGUUAAUCGAAAAAUAAGUAUAAGACAGAAGGAAGUAUUGACUGCGUUUUCAAGAACGUUCGUCGGUAUUGAAUUAUUCCAACAAGAUCAAGGAUCGAUACGUAUGCUUUAAUAGGAAGCGAGCAUAAUUUACGAUAACGAUGAUAUCGAAUGUAUGUAAUAAAAAUAAGUUUACAAAAUACAAGGAACUUAAUGUUA